GUCUAUGGCCACACCACCCUGAACGCGCCCGAUCUCGUCUGAUCUCGGAAGCUAAGCAGGGUCAGGCCUCGUUAGUACUUGGAUGGCAGACCUGGUGCAGAGUCCACCAUUGCCU
Molecule: ribosomal RNA, 115 nt
Organism: Ochotona princeps (American pika)
Lineage: Eukaryota; Metazoa; Chordata; Mammalia; Lagomorpha; Ochotonidae
Source: Ensembl